CCUCCGUGGCAAGGUAACGCCCCAGGCCACGCCCUUGAGUUCCCACCCUCCGGCCAAAGGUCGGCACCUUCUGUUCUGGGGUGUCUGGGCCAAUGGGCGAAAGGAGCAGAAGUGAGUGCAGCCUCUAAGUGCCCGGGCUUCUUACAGUGUCUUAUGGGAAAUCAAGGAUAGUAAGUAGCAGUCACGGCCUGAGAAGAGUUUUGAAUCACAAUGGACCUGUACAAGUGCCUCAGCUAUCAGAGGACAAGACACCAGAGUCCCAGUGGGAGGUAUCUGCCUUGCAGGCAGUAGGCAGUCACCUUCGGACUGGCUUUGAAUCUGCUGCAAGAACUCCAGACAGACCUGGCCUAGAGGGAGCUGGCGCAGACUUGUGCAGGACUUUGAAGCAGCUAACUUCAAGGGCUCUCCCCUUGGGCUACAGCACUGCAGUGCAACUUAGAAUACUGAAAGUUGUCUAUGAGUUCUCUGCUUCCCCAGAAGCACCUACCCUAGAGGUCAGCCAAGGACACAGGACACCUGCUGGAGUGCUUCAAGCCAUUCUCACUGAAUUGGAAUCUCAGGAGUCAGCUAGCACAAGCCAGGGUGGGAAAGGCAGCCUUCUCCCUACAAAUCCCUGCAAAGUUGUUUCCUAGGAGCUGAGGCAAAUCUCUAGACAAUGUGUCAGGGACAAAGAAAGCCAAAGGAACAAAUUCAGUCUCCCUUGGGAAUCCUAACUGUUUAAAUGGAAGAUUGGAAAGCUGCUAAAGACACAUUUUCUGUAUCUGCCACCAACUACUGAGUGGCCCAUGUGUCACUUUCUUAAAAAAUAUUUUUGGUACCAGGGAUUGAAUGCUCAACCACAUGCUUGCAAGGCAGGUGCUUAUGCUGCAGAGCUAAAUCCCCAGCCAUGUGUCACUUUUCCUGGAGUAAACAAAGCCCCCAUCUUUCAAUAAACUCAUGACAUUUGGAA
Cavia porcellus (domestic guinea pig) is the source of this 949-nucleotide long non-coding RNA. RefSeq lists it as uncharacterized. The record is from RefSeq and is a predicted model, not a curated record. NCBI's taxonomy places the organism in Eukaryota, Metazoa, Chordata, Mammalia, Rodentia, Caviidae. The transcript has 2 exons.